RNAcentral lists this ribosomal RNA (440 nucleotides) under uncultured bacterium. RNAcentral describes it as "partial 16S ribosomal RNA". It matches the Rfam family "Bacterial small subunit ribosomal RNA", at positions 338 to 795 of the family's 1533-position model. The record is from RNAcentral.
CCUACGGGAGGCAGCAGUGGGGAAUAUUGCACAAUGGGGGAAACCCUGAUGCAGCGACGCCGCGUGAGUGAAGAAGUAUCUCGGUAUGGAAAGCUCUUUCAGUAGGGAAGAAAAUGACGGUACCUGUUUAAGAAGCCACGGCUAAUUACGUGCCAGCAGCCGCGGUAAGACGGAGGGGGCAAGCGUUAUCCGGAUUUACUGGGUGUAAAGGGAGCGUAGACGGCAGCACAAGUCUGGAGUGAAAUGCCGGGGCUUAACCCCGGAACUGCUUUGGAAACUGGGCAGCUAGAGUGCAGGAGAGGGAAGGGGAAGUCCUAGUGUAGCGGUGAAAGGCGUAGAUAUUAGGAGGAACACCAGUGGCGAAGGCGGCUUGCUGGACUGUAACUGACGUUGAGGCACGAAAGCGUGGGGAGCAAACAGGAUUAGAUACCCUAGUAGUC